This 352-nucleotide ribosomal RNA is filed under the name uncultured Rhodospirillales bacterium. Its description in RNAcentral is "bacterial SSU rRNA". It matches the Rfam family "Bacterial small subunit ribosomal RNA", at positions 1030 to 1382 of the family's 1533-position model. The record is from RNAcentral. Lineage: Bacteria; Pseudomonadati; Pseudomonadota; Alphaproteobacteria; Rhodospirillales.
CCGCACAGGUGCUGCGAUGGCUGUCGUCAGCUCGUGUCGUGAGAUGUUGGUUAAGUCCGCAACGAGCGCAACCCUCGUCUCCACGUUGCCAUCAGGUUAAGCUGGGCACUUUGGAGAAACUGCCGGUGACAAGCCGGAGGAAGGUGGGGAUGACGUCAAGUCCUCAUGGCCCUUACGGGCUGGGCUACACACGUGCUACAAUGGCGGUGACAAUGGGAAGCAAUGGCGCGAGCCGGAGCCGAUCCUUAAAAACCGUCUCAGUUCGGAUUGCACUCUGCAACUCGAGUGCAUGAAGGUGGAAUCGCUAGUAAUCGAGGAUCAGCAUGCCUCGGUGAAUACGUUCCCGGGCCUU